ACCAGCCUACCCUUCCAAACUUGGGUCUUUAAGGCCCUGCCCAACCAGCCUACCCUUCCAAACUUGGGUCUUUAAGGCCCUGCACAACCAGCCUACCCUUCCAAACUUGGGUCUUUAAGGCCCUGCACAACCAGUCUUCUCUUCCAAACUUAGGUCCUUAAGGCCCUGCACAACCAGUCUUCUCUUCCAAACUUAGGUCUUUAAGGCCCUGCACAACCAGCCUGCUCUUCCAAACUUAGGUCUUUAAGGCCCUGCACAACCAGUCUUCUCUUCCAAACUUAGGUCCUUAAGGCCCUGCACAACCAGUCUUCUCUUCCAAACUUAGGUCCUUAAGGCCCUGCACAACCAGUCUUCUCUUCCAAACUUAGGUCUUUAAGGCCCUGCACAACCAGCCUGCUCUUCCAAACUUAGGUCCUUAAGGCCCUGCACAACCAGUCUUCUCUUCCAAACUUAGGUCUUUAAGGCCCUGCACAACCAGUCUUCUCUUCCAAACUUAGGUCUUUAAGGCCCUGCACAACCAGCCUGCUCUUCCAAACUUAGGUCCUUAAGGCCCUGCACAACCAGUCUUCUCUUCCAAACUUAGGUCUUUAAGGCCCUGCCCAACCAGCCUACCCUUCCAAACUUAGGUCUUUAAGGCCCUGCACAACCAGUCUUCUCUUCCAAACUUAGGUCUUUAAGGCCCUGCACAACCUGGCCCUGGCCUACCCUUCCAAACUUGGGUCCUUAAGGCCCUGCACAACCUGGCCCCAGCCUACUCUUCCAAAUUCGGUCCUUAAGGACCUGCACAACCAGCCUACCUUUCCAAACUUAGGUCUUUAAGGCCCUGCACAACCAGCCUACCCUUCCAAACUUAGGUCUUUAAGGCCCUGCACAACCAGCCUGCUCUUCCAAACUUAGGUCCUUAAGGCCCUGCACAACCAGUCUUCUCUUCCAAACUUAGGUCUUUAAGGCCCUGCACAACCUGGCCCUGGCCUACCCUUCCAAACUUGGGUCCUUAAGGCCCUGCACAACCAGUCUUCUCUUCCAAACUUUGGCCCUUAAGGCCCUGCACAACCAGCCUACCCUUCCAAACUUUGGUCUUUAAGGCCCUGCACAACCAGCCUACCCUUCCAAACUUGGGUCUUUAAGGCCCUGCACAACCAGCCUACCCUUCCAAACUUGGGUCUUUAAGGCCCUGCACAACCAGUCUUCUCUUCCA
This is a long non-coding RNA of Antechinus flavipes (yellow-footed antechinus), 1198 nucleotides long. RefSeq lists it as uncharacterized. The transcript is spliced from 4 exons. Lineage: Eukaryota; Metazoa; Chordata; Mammalia; Dasyuromorphia; Dasyuridae. The record is from RefSeq and is a predicted model, not a curated record.